This 555-nucleotide small RNA is filed under the name Pan troglodytes (chimpanzee). Its description in RNAcentral is "processed transcript". The record is from RNAcentral. Lineage: Eukaryota; Metazoa; Chordata; Mammalia; Primates; Hominidae.
AUUCUGGGAGCCCACCCCAGGACAAUGGCAGGGCAAAACCAGUGAGCAAGGCAGAAAAUUCCUGAAAUUCUCCACUGAGGCCCAGCUGUUCCUCUCCUUGAAAAGUCAAGGCUUGGCUCAAGCCAGAUAGCACCUGAGGACAGAACAUAUCAGGAGCCAAGUUACACCCUGUUUAACCCUGCCUUCAAAGGGACGACUCUGUAAGAUUCUCUGCUACUUAUUCAAGGUGACACGAUGCCCUUCACACUCCACCUGAGGUCCCGCCUUCCCUCUGCCAUAAGGAGUUUGAUUCUACAAAAGAAACCAAACAUCAGAAAUAUAUCCAGCAUGGCUGGAGAGCUCCGACCAGCCAGCCUGGUGGUCCUGCCCAGGUCCCUUGCUCCAGCUUUUGAAAGAUUCUGCCAGGCCAACACUGGUCCUCUACCCCUGCUGGGCCAGAGUGAGCCAGAAAAGUGGAUGCUGCCCCCUCAAGGUGCUAUCUCAGAGACCAGAGACCCCACUGGCUUUUGCCAGCAUCCCAGGCUGCACAGUUAUGACUGACCUGAAGGAUGCAAA